This is a long non-coding RNA of Mus musculus (house mouse), 391 nucleotides long. RefSeq annotates it as predicted gene, 36174. NCBI's taxonomy places the organism in Eukaryota, Metazoa, Chordata, Mammalia, Rodentia, Muridae. The record is from RefSeq and is a predicted model, not a curated record. The transcript is spliced from 3 exons.
CUCCCGGUGUAUCUUUCUCCAGACCUUCCCUUGGUGCACUGGAUACCCUUGCUGUGUAGUAAAGAGUUAAAAAUAGAGGGCAGGGUUUUCUUCUUCUCUUUUGCUAACAGCUGAGCCAAGGAGUGUGGAGGCUGCUCCAGGUCCUAGAACACGGUGCCUGGGUUCAUUUCGCAGAUUUGGUCCUAAGCUUGUCAAGUCCCCUACCAGCUCCUGUGACAGAAAGACUAGACAAGAUGGCGGAGGUCACACGAGUGCUGGGAAAUGAAGAAGGGCUUCAAGCUGCUCCUCCGAUUUUAAAGCCAAGCAAUGUGCCUAGCACUGUGCUGCUGUGAGCCAGACAAUGACCUUCCCCCGGAGCAAUUAAAAGAUGUUUUCAAAGUUGUUUUUUAAA